This 526-nucleotide ribosomal RNA is filed under the name uncultured bacterium. Its description in RNAcentral is "bacterial SSU rRNA". It matches the Rfam family "Bacterial small subunit ribosomal RNA", at positions 355 to 873 of the family's 1533-position model. The record is from RNAcentral.
UCGGGAAUUUUGGGCAAUGGGCGAAAGCCUGACCCAGCAACGCCGCGUGAAGGAUGAAAUCCCUCGGGAUGUAAACUUCGCAAGAACGGGAAGAAUAAGUAGAAGAUAAUACCUUCUAUGAUGACGGUACUGUUUGUAAGCUCCGGCUAACUCCGUGCCAGCAGCCGCGGUAAUACGGGGGGAGCAAGCGUUGUUCGGAUUUACUGGGCGUAAAGGGCGCGUAGGCGGCCACGACAAGUCAGUUGUGAAAUCUCCGGGCUUAACUCGGAGCGGUCAACUGAUACUGUCGGGCUAGAGUGCAGAAGGGGCAACUGGAAUUCUCGGUGUAGCGGUGAAAUGCGUAGAUAUCGAGAGGAACACCUGCGGCGAAGGCGGGUUGCUGGGCUGACACUGACGCUGAGGCGCGAAAGCUAGGGGAGCGAACGGGAUUAGAUACCCCGGUAGUCCUGGCCUUAAACGAUGAAUGCUUGGUGUCCGAGGUUACAUAGUCCUCGGGUGCCGUCGCUAACGCUUUAAGCAUUCCGCC